Non-coding RNA from Ictidomys tridecemlineatus (thirteen-lined ground squirrel), 72 nucleotides. The record is from Rfam. Lineage: Eukaryota; Metazoa; Chordata; Mammalia; Rodentia; Sciuridae.
GAGGGUGUAGCUCAAUGAUAGAGUAUGUGCUUAGCAUUCCCGAGCCCCUGGGUUCCAUUCCCAGCACUCCCC